GACGAACGCUGGCGGCGUGCUUAACACAUGCAAGUCGAACGGAAAGGCCCUGCUUUUGUGGGGUGCUCGAGUGGCGAACGGGUGAGUAACACGUGUGUAACCUGCCCUUGACUUUGGUAUAACUUCAGGAAACUGGGGCUAAUACCGGAUAGGAGCUCCUGCAGCAUGGUGGGGGUUGGAAAGUUGCGGCGGUUGGGGAUGGACUCGCGGCUUAUCAGCUUGUUGGUGGGGUAGUGGCUUACCAAGGCUUUGACGGAUAGCCGGCCUGAGAGGGUGAACGGCCACAUGGGGACUGAGGGACGGAGCAGACUCCUACGGGAGGCAGCAGUGGGGAAUAUUGCACAAUGGGCGGAAGCCGGAGGCAGCAACGCCGCGUGCGGGAUGACGGCUUUCGGGGUGUAAACCGCUUUCGCCUGUGACGAAGCGGGAGUGACGGUAAUGGGUAAAGAAGCACCGGCUAACUACGUG
RNAcentral lists this ribosomal RNA (468 nucleotides) under uncultured bacterium. RNAcentral's name for it is "partial 16S ribosomal RNA". It matches the Rfam family "Bacterial small subunit ribosomal RNA", at positions 28 to 507 of the family's 1533-position model. The record is from RNAcentral.